This is a long non-coding RNA of Strigops habroptila (Kakapo), 276 nucleotides long. RefSeq lists it as uncharacterized. The record is from RefSeq and is a predicted model, not a curated record. NCBI's taxonomy places the organism in Eukaryota, Metazoa, Chordata, Aves, Psittaciformes, Psittacidae. The transcript has 3 exons.
AGACCUACUGCUAUGCACAUUUCUCAGUCUGAAAUGCUAAUCCUCUUGGGCUUUGGUGACACACGUGCAGGAGCUCUGCCACAUAAAUCCGCCCGGGUCCAUUCCCCAUCAACUGGUGCCACUGAAGGCUAGGGGAGCAAAUAAACCUUAAGAAGAUCAUCCACCUUGUCUGAAAUCCAGAGCUCCUGGGUUUCCUGGUGGGUUCUCAGUGCUGGAAAAGUUACAGUGGGACAAACAGAAACCGAAGUUUCUCAGACGUGGCACCUCAGCUCUCUG